Molecule: ribosomal RNA, 524 nt
Filed under: uncultured bacterium
Lineage: Bacteria
Description: partial 16S ribosomal RNA
Rfam family: Bacterial small subunit ribosomal RNA
Source: RNAcentral
UGGGGAAUAUUGGACAAUGGGGGCAACCCUGAUCCAGCCAUGCCGCGUGAGUGAUGAAGGCCUUCGGGUUGUAAAGCUCUUUUGGCGGGGACGAUGAUGACGGUACCCGCAGAAUAAGCCCGGCUAACUUCGUGCCAGCAGCCGCGGUAAGACGGAGGGGGCUAGCGUUGUUCGGAAUUACUGGGGCGUAAAGCGAGUGUAGGCGGUUGCCGUAGUCAGGUGUGAAAGCCUUGAGCUCAACUCAAGAAAUGCACUUGAUACUGGGUGACUAGAGGACCGGAGAGGAUAGUGGAAUUCCCAGUGUAGUGGUGAAAUACGUAGAGAUUGGGAAGAACACCAGUGGCGAAGGCGGCUAUCUGGACGGUUACUGACGCUAAGACUCGAAAGCGUGGGGAGCAAACAGGAUUAGAUACCCUGGUAGUCCACGCCGUAAAACGAUGGGUGCUAGACGUUGGCGAGCUUGCUCGUCAGUGUCGCAGCUAACGCGUUAAGCACCCCGCCUGGGGAGUACGGCCGCAAGGUUG